UAAAUGCCGAGCACAAUGAUGGCUUAACGAAGUGCAAAUUUCAGUUGUCUCUUCCAUCUAAAUCUGGGAGAAGUCUUUCUUUUAAUUUUCACGCACAGGCCCGGACCCUAACCCCUCUGCAGCUAAGAAGAAAUUCGUCUGUAGAACUUAAGGGUUUUCAUCGCGCGAAAACGAGAGGUCCUUGGUGGCAAGAGCCCAAACGCUGAUGCAAGCCUCGAGGACCAAUCACAGAGACGAGGAGGCAGGAACAAAUGGGGGUUGAAGGUCGGACGGAAGUUCUCAAAGCUUCCGGUGGCCGACUUGAGCGGGAGCAAUGGCUAAACAUCAUCCGGACUUGAUAUUUUGCCGCAAACAGGCUGGUGUUGCCAUCGGAAGACUGUGUGAAAAAUGUGAUGGCAAGUGUGUGAUCUGUGACUCCUAUGUGCGGCCCUGCACCCUGGUGCGCAUAUGUGAUGAGUGUAACUAUGGCUCUUACCAGGGGCGCUGUGUGAUCUGUGGAGGCCCAGGAGUCUCGGAUGCGUAUUAUUGUAAGGAAUGCACCAUCCAGGAGAAGGAUAGAGAUGGUUGCCCAAAGAUUGUCAAUUUGGGGAGUUCUAAGACAGAUCUCUUCUAUGAACGCAAAAAGUAUGGCUUCAAGAAGAGGUGAUUGAUGGGCCUCUUCCUCCCCCAAUCAAGGUGCUCCAGCUUCCAGAAAAAAACGCCUACUACCGCCAGCAGAGACAGAUUGACAGAUUAGUUCUUGGUUUUUCUUGAAUUCAAGGAGUCUGCUUCCCAAAUUGGUAUGUUCUCUCUACACCAAGAGCUUCUAAAACAGGAAUAAAAGCAUUUCAGUCUUGUGUUUGGGGAGUUGACUCUGAAGCUACUGCAGUGAGAAGCAUGUUCCGACAGCAGCUUGGAUGGUAGUUGUCCUUCGUGGAACAUCUGCAGUGGGGAGGGGAGCUCUUCCAACAAUGUGGGCAUUUCAUCUUGUUAACACUUAACCAGGUGGUACUGGCGCAUGUUAUGUCUUCUGAGAAACUGGAAAGCCUUUCUGUUGCUAUUGUAUUAAUAAAGUAGGUGUUUAUUUUCUUGUAGUCACCAUGCCAAUUGAAAUUUAACUCUAGGAAGUUAUUAUAGCCACCCAGGAAUUUGUGAUCCAACAUAGAAGUAUUGGGGUUCAUUAGCACCUUGUUCUCUUAGUACUAUUGUAAAGAAAUCAAAACCAUCCGUGCCUUUCAUUACAGGUAAACCAAUGUCAUUUUUAGAAACUUACUUGUUUUUCUUCCAGUCCAACUUUAAUUUUGAAUUGAAGAGAUGGCUCCCAGUAAUGGUGAAGGUAAUGAAUGAGACAAGAUGUAUUCAAAUUGAUGAGUUAGGAGAACUGAACUCAAUUCGUUUCAUAAAGUGCAUAUAUACUCACAUUAAGGAUGUUUCUUUGCUCUCUCUUUUUUAAGUGGCAGGUUAAGGACAAAUUCAGACAUAUCCUUUAUCUUUACUCAGCUAUCUAUACUUUCUGCCCAGUAGAGGUGAUGAGCAAGUUACCUUUUAGGAGGCACAUUCAUAAUUUGAAACUUC
Molecule: non-coding RNA, 1554 nt
Organism: Manis javanica (Malayan pangolin)
Lineage: Eukaryota; Metazoa; Chordata; Mammalia; Pholidota; Manidae
Source: RefSeq, a predicted model, not a curated record